This 466-nucleotide ribosomal RNA is filed under the name uncultured bacterium. RNAcentral's name for it is "partial 16S ribosomal RNA". It matches the Rfam family "Bacterial small subunit ribosomal RNA", at positions 28 to 507 of the family's 1533-position model. The record is from RNAcentral.
GACGAACGCUGGCGGCGUGCUUAACACAUGCAAGUCGAACGGAAAGGCCCUGCUUGCAGGGUACUCGAGUGGCGAACGGGUGAGUAACACGUGGGUGAUCUGCCCUGCACUUCGGGAUAAGCUGGGGAAACUGGGCCUAAUACCGGAUAGGAGCCAUCUUUAGUGUGGUGGUUGGAAAGUUUUUUCGGUGUAGGAUGAGCUCGCGGCCUAUCAGCUUGUUGGUGGGGUAAUGGCCUACAAAGGCGGCGACGGGUAGCCGGCCUGAGAGGGUGUACGGCCACAUUGGGACUGAGAUACGGCCCAGACUCCUACGGGAGGCAGCAGUGGGGAAUAUUGCACAAUGGGCGCAAGCCUGAUGCAGCGACGCCGCGUGGGGGAUGAAGGCCUUCGGGUUGUAAACUCCUUUCGCUAGGGACGAAGCUUUUUUGUGACGGUACCUAGAUAAGAAGCACCGGCUAACUACGUG